RNAcentral lists this ribosomal RNA (497 nucleotides) under uncultured bacterium. RNAcentral's name for it is "partial 16S ribosomal RNA". It matches the Rfam family "Bacterial small subunit ribosomal RNA", at positions 28 to 507 of the family's 1533-position model. The record is from RNAcentral.
GACGAACGCUGGCGGCGUGCCUAAUACAUGCAAGUAGAACGCUGAAGAGAGGAGCUUACUCUUCUUGGAUGAGUUGCGAACGGGUGAGUAACGCGUAGGUAACCUGCCUUGUAGCGGGGGAUAACUAUUGGAAACGAUAGCUAAUACCGCAUAACAAUGGAUGACACAUGUCAUUUAUUUGAAAGGGGCAAUUGCUCCACUACAAGAUGGACCUGCGUUGUAUUAGCUAGUAGGUGAGGUAAUGGCUCACCUAGGCGACGAUACAUAGCCGACCUGAGAGGGUGAUCGGCCACACUGGGACUGAGACACGGCCCAGACUCCUACGGGAGGCAGCAGUAGGGAAUCUUCGGCAAUGGGGGCAAACCUGACCGAGCAACGCCGCGUGAGUGAAGAAGGUUUUCGGAUCGUAAAGCUCUGUUGUAAGUCAAGAACGGGUGUGAGAGUGGAAAGUUCACACUGUGACGGUAGCUUACCAGAAAGGGACGGCUAACUACGUG